UGCGUAGGCGGCCGAUUAAGUAGGGUGUGAAAUGCCUCGGCUCAACCGAGGAAUGGCGCUCUAAACUGGUCGGCUUGAGUGAGAUAGGGGUGUGCGGAACUUCCAGUGGAGCGGUGAAAUGUGUUGAUAUUGGAAGGAACGCCGGUAGCGAAAGCGGCACACUGGGUCUCAACUGACGCUGAGGCACGAAAGCCAGGGUAGCGAAACG
This 208-nucleotide ribosomal RNA is filed under the name uncultured bacterium. Its description in RNAcentral is "partial 16S ribosomal RNA". It matches the Rfam family "Bacterial small subunit ribosomal RNA", at positions 568 to 775 of the family's 1533-position model. The record is from RNAcentral.